GGCCAGCAGGGCGGGGGAGUUAGGCAAACAGAAGAGAGAAGGGGUGGGGAGAAGAAUCAAAGUGGGUUAAAAAAAAAAGAAGAAGAAGAAGAAGAAGGUUAAAAAAGUUAUUCCCCGGCAAAAGUUCAAGCACCAACAGAAGGAGGCUUGUUCCAGCUUUAAAAUGUCUUCAAGAAAGCCGUUCCCCUCUCUGCACUCCUGUGGAUUCUCGGGAGUGACUAGAAUUUCAGGAGAGUGAUGUCUUGCAGAUGUAUUAGAGGGCAGGAUUCUCACUUUACUUUUCGUAAGGACAAAAAAAAAAUAAGAAAUAAAGAAGUAGGACUUGAAGAGUCAGCAGAGGGCGGCGGGUCCCCCCUUCCCUUUUCUCUCUCCCCUCUCUGCGUUGAGUUCCUCUCCCCUUCUCAGUCGGAUCAAGAAGCUCUCUGGCACUUCAAAAGGCACAGACUGGCAUGGAGAGGAGGCUUUGUAGGGAAUACAAGAAAAUUGGAGACCCCUGGGAGGGCAGAUCUCCACUUAAUAGGAGCCUGUAAUUACGUGGCAAAGCCUUUGUGCGGCGCCUGACGUUUUACAGACCCCCUUUCUCCAUCACAACCUCCUUCCUCCUUUCCCUGGGACCGAAAAAACAGCCUGAUUAAGAAAACCCCCUUUGAGAGAAAGAGAGAGGGAGGGAGCAAGAGAGAGGGAGGGAGGGGGAAGGGAGGAAGGAGGGUGAGAGAGGGAGGGAAGCAGAGAGAGCCCCUUUGGAUUUUUAAAAUAAAGGUCUAAUUAUCAUUCCCUUGCAGUAGUAUCACAGAGAGAAAGGAACCAAGACCCACAGUCACUUUAAACGGGCUGAUUAUUUUGUUUGGGUAUUAACUCCUCCGGAUUUGUUUGAGAUCCUGUUGGAAAAUCUCAUUUGCAUGCUUUGAUAACAGCUGAGGGCAAACUUGUUGGGGGGGGGGAGAAUGCACAUCUAUAACAAUCAAACCUUCUUCUGCUGCCCCGCCCCCGGCAACUUUUCCUGCAGAUUUGUUUUGGCGAAGAGCACAGGGAGAGACUGAGACAGAAAAGCAAAAGAGCAAGCCCAUUAAAGCUCGUUUGGCUCUGUAGAGACAGCCUAUUAAAUAAUGUAAUAAAAUAACAAGAGCGAUAAUAACUGGAGGCGCUCUACGUUCUAAAGGCAGCUUGGAGAGAUCCAGAAGUCUUCAGCUUCGAAUGGAUUCGAGACUUUCGCUGCCACCAGAAAUCUCCAGGCUUCGGACCGCAGAAAACUUACAUACUUAUUAAACAGAAGGAAAACCCGUCCUGGUCGUUCCCCUACCCUUCCAACGGGUGAAAUUUCUUAGGUGUGGCCGAGGUCGCUUUCCCAGGAGACGAAGGUUAGCACAGAGGCUGUCCAAAUUCGGAGCAGACAGGAGCACCCUGGCUGAGAGAGCUGGGGGAGCUGGGGGGUAGGCUCUGUGCUAAUCUGUGUCCAGCCGGGUGCGGUCCUGGAAGACAGAGUCCGAGGACGCCGGGGUCCAAGUCUAUGGACCAGGCUUGACAGAGGACAGAGAAGUGCUGGCGGUGUUUUCAUGACCUGUUGGAAUCUGGUAACAGCUUUAAUAGUCUCAUUAGGAAUGAGUUACUAUAUGGCCAAUUUAAAAACAAAACCAAGCAGAUUCCCCAGGCCAGUCAUCAGGCCAUGAUUAAAAUCUGUUCCUCACUGAUGAUCAGUCCCAUGAUUUGAAACACCAGUUGAAGUGCUACACGGGAAUUAAUGCAUUUACAAUGUAAAGAAGUACUCAUCCAGGGACGUGAAACUGGCUGAUAAUUGAAUGUUCUACUUCUCAAGUUUAAAGAAAAGAGAAGCGAUGUCUACAAUUUCUAUAAUUGACCUAUUCUAGAUUUUCUGUGUGCAGUACCAAAGGAAAGCCUAUAUGGAUAUCUCAUGGUACCUCAGACUCCGAGACACUGAAGUAUUUCAAAGCUUCUCAGAGAUGCCCAGAGAAAAUCCUUAAUGCAGAACUAAAGGAAAGUUAAUCUGAAUUCCAAGCAUUCCAGAUGUAACAGAAAGAAGGCAUGCUUCUGAAUCAGAGAGUCCUAGGGCUUCCAACAGUAUGCUGAAUGGAAGUAGAAAAAGUGAGUUUUCCAGCUGACCUGAACAAAGGGGAGCUCAUGGACCCCAGACUGAUAGCUGGGAAACCAGCAUAGGACUGACCGAGACCCCCUGAACAUUGGUGUCAGUGAGUAGGCCUGGGCAAUCUAUGAGGCCUCCGGUAGUGGAUCAGUAUUUAUCCCUAGUACACGAAUGGACUUUGGGAGCCCACUCCACAUAGAGCUCUCUCAGCCUAGACACAGGGGGGAGGGCCUAUG
Molecule: non-coding RNA, 2334 nt
Organism: Cricetulus griseus (Chinese hamster)
Lineage: Eukaryota; Metazoa; Chordata; Mammalia; Rodentia; Cricetidae
Source: RefSeq, a predicted model, not a curated record